CCUACGGGAGGCAGCAGUGGGGAAUAUUGCACAAUGGGCGCAAGCCUGAUGCAGCGACGCCGCGUGAGGGAUGACGGCCUUCGGGUUGUAAACCUCUUUCAGUAGGGAAGAAGCGAAAGUGACGGUACCUGCAGAAGAAGCGCCGGCUAACUACGUGCCAGCAGCCGCGGUAAUACGUAGGGCGCAAGCGUUAUCCGGAAUUAUUGGGCGUAAAGAGCUCGUAGGCGGUUUGUCGCGUCUGCCGUGAAAGUCCGGGGCUCAACUCCGGAUCUGCGGUGGGUACGGGCAGACUAGAGUGAUGUAGGGGAGACUGGAAUUCCUGGUGUAGCGGUGAAAUGCGCAGAUAUCAGGAGGAACACCGAUGGCGAAGGCAGGUCUCUGGGCAUUAACUGACGCUGAGGAGCGAAAGCAUGGGGAGCGAACAGGAUUAGAUACCCUGGUAGUCCAUGCCGUAAACGUUGGGCACUAGGUGUGGGGGACAUUCCACGUUUUCCGCGCCGUAGCUAACGCAUUAAGUGCCCCGCCUGGGGAGUACGGCCGCAAGGCUAAACUUAAUGAAUUGCGGCUGNGAGNGCGAGCGACGACGAGGGAGAG
Molecule: ribosomal RNA, 594 nt
Filed under: uncultured bacterium
Lineage: Bacteria
Description: bacterial SSU rRNA
Rfam family: Bacterial small subunit ribosomal RNA
Source: RNAcentral